RNAcentral lists this transfer RNA (26 nucleotides) under Uroplatus fimbriatus (common flat-tail gecko). RNAcentral's name for it is "tRNA-Tyr". The record is from RNAcentral. Lineage: Eukaryota; Metazoa; Chordata; Lepidosauria; Squamata; Gekkonidae.
CCCCUGCUUGAGACUACAGCUCAAUG